GUAAUUACACAUUUGAAAAUAAAUCGCUGAAAAUUUACAUAAAAAGAUAUGCGGCAAACAGAAAUUCUGUUGUUGCUUUGCGAUAACGUAGAAACGCAGACGUGCCGCAAUUCGAACUUUUUAAAAAAUGCCGAAUAUUGUUUACAACGUUACUGAACGAGUAUGGAUGGUUCGGGCACGUAAUUCAGGUUUAUCCUAUAGGCGCAUGAAAGAUCAAUUGCGGUGCUGUACCCUAAAAGAUGUAUUCCAUCCGUGUCUACAAUUAAAUCUGUUGUUGAGGAUUCCAAAAGAAUGGGAAUGCCAAUUCAGAUUUGAUACCCGUUCAUCACCCAAG
This 334-nucleotide long non-coding RNA is filed under the name Androctonus crassicauda. Lineage: Eukaryota; Metazoa; Arthropoda; Arachnida; Scorpiones; Buthidae. The record is from RNAcentral.